This is a long non-coding RNA of Lineus longissimus, 265 nucleotides long. RefSeq lists it as uncharacterized. NCBI's taxonomy places the organism in Eukaryota, Metazoa, Nemertea, Pilidiophora, Heteronemertea, Lineidae. The transcript is spliced from 3 exons. The record is from RefSeq and is a predicted model, not a curated record.
GGCAACACAGAACUAGAAAACACCCUGAGCCGUUUGAAGGAGUUUGCUAUGUGAGCGCAGGAAAUGAACCUUUUUUCUGCGAGAGAGCCAAAGGUGUUGGGAGAUGGUCUUUGAUUCCGAAGCCCGUUGUUUGCGGGAGAGGGUGGAAAAAGUUCGGUCAUCACUGUUAUGGUUUGUUUAAGAACCACCUACGUUUCACAGCAGCAGAAGCAUUUUGCCACAAGCACAAAGCUCACCUAGCAAGUAUAAACAGUCUAUGGGAAUU